RNAcentral lists this ribosomal RNA (779 nucleotides) under marine metagenome. RNAcentral's name for it is "bacterial SSU rRNA". It matches the Rfam family "Bacterial small subunit ribosomal RNA", at positions 8 to 801 of the family's 1533-position model. The record is from RNAcentral.
AGAGUUUGAUCCUGGCUCAGGGUGAACGCUGGCGGUGCGCCUAAUGCAUGCAAGUCGAGCGAACCUGUGACUUCGGUCACACAUAGGUUAGCGGCGGACGGCUGAGUAACACGUGAGUAACUUGCCUUUUGGUGGGGUAUAGCCCAGAGAAAUCUGGAUUAAUCCCGCAUAAGAUCUUAGAACCCUGGUUCUUUGAUGAAAGCCUUCGGGCGCCGAAAGAGAGGCUCGCGGACUAUCAGGUAGUUGGUGGGGUAAUGGCCUACCAAGCCUAAGACGGUUAGCUGGUCUGAGAGGAUGAUCAGCCAGAGGGGGACUGAGACACGGCCCCCACUCCUACGGGAGGCAGCAGCAGGGAAUCUUGGGCAAUGGACGAAAGUCUGACCCAGCGACAUCGCGUGGAGGAUGACGGCCUUAGGGUUGUAAACUCCUUUUAUAAGAGAAGAGUAAGGACGGUACCUUAUGAAUAAGCCCCGGCUAACUACGUGCCAGCAGCCGCGGUAAUACGUAGGGGGCGAGCGUUACCCGGAAUCACUGGGCGUAAAGAGAGCGUAGGCGGUUUGGAAAGUCAUUUGUGAAAGCUCCUGGCUCAACUAGGAGAGGUCAAGUGAAACUUCCUGACUCGAGGACGGUAGAGGUAAGCGGAAUUCUUGGUGUAGCGGUGAAAUGCGUAGAUAUCAAGAAGAACACCAGAGGCGAAGGCGGCUUACUGGGCCGUUUCUGACGCUGAGGCUCGAGAGCGUGGGUAGCAAACAGGAUUAGAUACCCUGGUAGUCCACGCC